Molecule: ribosomal RNA, 253 nt
Filed under: uncultured bacterium
Lineage: Bacteria
Description: partial 16S ribosomal RNA
Rfam family: Bacterial small subunit ribosomal RNA
Source: RNAcentral
UACAGAGGUGGCAAGCGUUGUUCGGAAUUACUGGGCGUAAAGGGCGCGUAGGCGGCCUUCUAAGUCAGACGUGAAAUCCCCCGGCUUAACCUGGGAACUGCGUCUGAUACUGGGAGGCUUGAGUAUGGGAGAGGGAUGUAGAAUUCCAGGUGUAGCGGUGAAAUGCGCAGAUAUCAGGAGGAACACCGAUGGCGAAGGCAGUGGUCUGGGCCGGAACUGACGCUGAAUAGCGAAAGCGUGGGUAGCGAACAGG